Molecule: ribosomal RNA, 1404 nt
Filed under: uncultured bacterium
Lineage: Bacteria
Description: 16S ribosomal RNA
Rfam family: Bacterial small subunit ribosomal RNA
Source: RNAcentral
AGAGUUUGAUCCUGGCUCAGGACGAACGCUAGCGACAGGCCUAACACAUGCAAGUCGAGGGGCAGCGGGGAGGCAGCGAUGCCUCCGCCGGCGACCGGCGCACGGGUGAGUAACACGUAUGCAACCUGCCCGGCCCAGGGGAAUAAGCGGCGGAAACGCCGUCUAAUUCCGCGUACACCUCCCAGCGGGCAUCCGCGGGGAGGGAAAGGAGGCGACUCCGGGGCCGGAUGGGCAUGCGGCGCAUUAGCUAGUUGGCGGGGCAACGGCCCACCAAGGCUGCGAUGCGUAGGGGUUCUGAGAGGAAGGCCCCCCACAUUGGAACUGAGACACGGUCCAAACUCCUACGGGAGGCAGCAGUGAGGAAUAUUGGUCAAUGGGCGAGAGCCUGAACCAGCCAAGUCGCGUGAGGGAAGACGGCCCUACGGGUUGUAAACCUCUUUUGCCGGGGAGCAAAGAGCGGGACGCGUCCCGCCUCGAGAGAACCCGGAGAAAAAGCAUCGGCUAACUCCGUGCCAGCAGCCGCGGUAAUACGGAGGAUGCAAGCGUUAUCCGGAUUUAUUGGGUUUAAAGGGUGCGCAGGCGGAAGCGCAAGUCAGCGGUAAAAUUGAGAGGCUCAACCUCUUCCCGCCGUUGAAACUGCGUUUCUUGAGUGGGCGAGAAGUACGCGGAAUGCGUGGUGUAGCGGUGAAAUGCAUAGAUAUCACGCAGAACUCCGAUUGCGAAGGCAGCGUACCGGCGCCCAACUGACGCUCAUGCACGAAAGCGUGGGUAUCGAACAGGAUUAGAUACCCUGGUAGUCCACGCAGUAAACGAUGAAUACUCGCUGUCCGGGGAGAUUGGUCUCUGGGCGGCCAAGCGAAAGCGUUAAGUAUUCCACCUGGGGAGUACGCCGGCAACGGUGAAACUCAAAGGAAAUGACGGGGGCCCGCACAAGCGGAGGAACAUGUGGUUUAAUUCGAUGAUACGCGAGGAACCUUACCCGGGCUCAAACGACGGAUGAAUACUUUUGAAAGGAGGUAGUCCUUCGGGACAUCCGUCGAGGUGCUGCAUGGUUGUCGUCAGCUCGUGCCGUGAGGUGUCGGCUUAAGUGCCAUAACGAGCGCAACCCCCAUCGCCAGUUGCCAACAGGUAAAGCUGGGAACUCUGGCGAGACUGCCGGCGCAAGCUGUGAGGAAGGCGGGGAUGACGUCAAAUCAGCACGGCCCUUACGUCCGGGGCGACACACGUGUUACAAUGGCAGGUACAGAGAGAUGCGACACGGCGACGUGGAGCGGAACUGUCAAAACCUGUCUCAGUUCGGAUCGGAGUCUGCAACCCGACUCCGUGAAGCUGGAUUCGCUAGUAAUCGCGCAUCAGCCAUGGCGCGGUGAAUACGUUCCCGGGCCUUGCACACACCGCCCGUCA